Molecule: long non-coding RNA, 233 nt
Filed under: Capsicum annuum
Lineage: Eukaryota; Viridiplantae; Streptophyta; Magnoliopsida; Solanales; Solanaceae
Description: long non-coding RNA (CANN_LNC005107)
Source: RNAcentral
UGUUUUAUGUUAUAGAUAAUUGUGUAUGCUCUAUAUUAUAUGGUUUUACUUGUUCUAACCAUUUUAUUCCUAAUAUUAUGUCUGCUUUUUGCAUUUCUUCUUAUUCCUAAUAUUAUGUCUGCUUUUUGCAUUUCUUCCUUUAUUUUAAAUUCUAUUUUUAUUUUUCUAACUCCUAUUGUUAUUUCUUUUUCUGCUAUAUUUUUAGUGUUUAUUAAGCUUCUUGGUAGAUCUGG